UGUUUAAUCUACAGCUUGGUUGCUCCGACGCUGCAUUAAUGUUGAUUCCUCUUGCUUUGCUGUUUCAUUUGUAGAUUGUUUCUCCAGUCGAGUUCCUUCAUUUUUUUAUUUCCCUACUAUUUUUUUGCCACUUACUGAGAGAGAACAUACUAAUACCCUUUGAUCUGCGGCUUGAGAACUUCAGCCUUUGGCCAAGACUUCCGUUGCUUCAUAUGCGACUGUUUUUUACAGCUUCACUUCUAAUUUUUUUUACCAACUCAAAUGUUUUUCUUUGCUGCGCUGUCUGAAAGAAAGGUGCCUAACAGGCUGUUAACCUGAGGAGCUCCUCCACUUGGUCGGGAUCCCUACCUUCCGCUAUGUCUGUUUAUCCAAGUUUGUUUCUGUUCUUAUCUUCCUGCUCAUCUCUUUGGUUUUCAUUAUUGGGGGGCAGUAAUCCAAUUCUUUAGCAUCCCUUAAUUUUCUUUGCUGUCUUCUGACUCUGAUUGAUUUUCUUCUCCUGCAAAUUGGAGUCCCUUUUCCUGAACAGAGUUUCUCAUUUGCAAGAAGAAGGAUUUAGACCCGGAGCAAUACCUCAAUAAAGGCCAGCAAGUCACUUGCUGUGUGACCUUGGAAUGAGAGCGCCUGACCACCAAGCACAACCGUGAAAGAUGAGCUGCUAAAUUUUUUAUUUUCCUUUAGCAGCAAGCAAAAAACUGUGUUUUUAUGUGAUCGUUUUUAAAUAUUUGCUUCUUGGCUUGAAAUCAUGGUUGAACCAACCUAAAGCUGCUGUGUUAUAUUUAUAAUGCUUCCUACAAAAAAUGCUACUGAAUUUUUGUACGAGUCUUCAAACGGAAUGGGAUUAAAGUAUAUAUUAUUAUAAGAUUAAGUUUUCGAAGCC
Populus euphratica (Euphrates poplar) is the source of this 877-nucleotide long non-coding RNA. RefSeq lists it as uncharacterized. The transcript is spliced from 3 exons. Lineage: Eukaryota; Viridiplantae; Streptophyta; Magnoliopsida; Malpighiales; Salicaceae. The record is from RefSeq and is a predicted model, not a curated record.